Molecule: long non-coding RNA, 1013 nt
Organism: Malus domestica (apple)
Lineage: Eukaryota; Viridiplantae; Streptophyta; Magnoliopsida; Rosales; Rosaceae
Source: RefSeq, a predicted model, not a curated record
ACUUAAAGCCGAUAAAGUAAAAUUUUGUCAGCACAAGAGUCUUUGCCCGACAAAAAAUUUAAUUCGUCGGCUCUAAACAUUUAGACCUAUGUCGAUGAAAAGUUUGUUGGCAAAGAACAUUCAAGCCGACAAAUAAACUAAUAGUUGGCAAAAACAUGUCCGUUCGUCAUCAAGAGAGGAGCGCGAAUUUAUUCUUUCCUGCUCUUUUUUUUUUUUUGUCUUUUCGAUUCCCCGCUCAAUUUUUCAGUUUAAAGAAUUUCCCCCUUAAAUCUAAAUUCAAUGUAUUUUCUACAAACCCUGUUAUAUGCGGAUAGCCCAGCCCCCUUCUCUCUCUCCCUCUCUCUCUCACGGUGCCACCGUUCGCUUUCCGUCAACAUUGUUUUUUGGCUCGCCAUCGUCAUCGCUUCAUCUACUCUCUAUUGCCGUUGCCGUUGAAGUGCCCCUGCUACUCUAGCUUCGUAAUCGCUAGUACUGGGUGCUUCGUUGCACUUCGUUUCUCUAAAACGUUUUGGGUUGUGAUGACAUGCCUAUUCACAUGUGAACAAAGGUUCUUUGCUCUCAAUUAUGCUGCAGAUGCUGCCUGCACUGUUCUACGGGUUGAUUAGCCCUUCCCCAUUUUCUACUAUGGUGCUAUAUCAUCCAAGGUUUGAGGUCGCAAACUCAUGGUCUUCAGUAAGCCACUAAAUUCUUCUCAUCUUGCCCCAUGACACAAGCUCCUGCAUAUUUGGUGCUAAUGGAUUUUUGAAGGCCAUUUGAUAUAAAUCUGGGAAUGCUCAUUUUCUUGCGUGGAAAUGAAGCUGGGAAUGCCCCUUUCCUCAUGACACAAGCUCUUGCAUAAUGCUACAUGGCAGCCGACUUUAAGGAAUGGCAGUAGGAUAAUUUUAUUGUGUGACAUGCUUUUGUAUAAGCACUCUAGAUGUACAUUUGAAAUUUAUCAAUCAAUAAAGUAUUAUUUCUUAACAAUUUUUUUGUAUUGUAUUUGGAUUUGCAUAUAUAAUAGUUGAGCAUUAAAG